Long non-coding RNA from Mercenaria mercenaria, 2497 nucleotides. RefSeq lists it as uncharacterized. Lineage: Eukaryota; Metazoa; Mollusca; Bivalvia; Venerida; Veneridae. The transcript is spliced from 4 exons. The record is from RefSeq and is a predicted model, not a curated record.
GUUGUACGUCAUUCUUUCGCUAUAGCUGACAGAGGUCAGACAUGUUUUGUUGAGAACUGAAACGUUUCUAAACUCGGCUUGCAGUGUGAGAUGUUGAUUGUAUCCAUUCGUAGAGUAGAUACAGUAACCGGAGCACAGACAGAGAGACGUGGUGUGUGAUGUGUAAGUGCAGAAAGGGUUUGAUCCCAUCAGAUCAACCUGAAAUGUUCUGGUAUCUGUCCGUUAUAGGGAAUUGUAUGUAGAAGAAUGCUGGUAUUUACUGUAAUCAUCUGGUAAUAAAAGUAUAAAGAUCGAACGUCUUCUUGGAUGUGUUUCUGAGUACCAUAGAUACAGAUCCCAUGAUUACAAAUGGAGCCCCUAGUGAUAAACCAGUGAUACAUCAAUGUGUAUACAAGUGAUACACUAUGGCCAUGUCAGUGACACACUUUUAAUACAUUUAGUUUUAAAGAAAGUAUUUACAUACAACGAAACGGUUCUUCAAGAAAUCUAUUGAACUCCAGUGAACUUCAAUACUAGUGUUUUGAAGGUUUUCAACUUCUAGAUUGGUGCUAUUUAUAGAACAACAGUGACAGAGUGACAGUGAUUUUACAAGUUCAACUCUUGCAAAACAAGAACUGGGCAGGUACAAAAGUAAAGACACAGAAAACACAGAUUACAACAUACAGACAUUACAGUUUACAGAUUACAGUCAAGUCACAGCUGCUAACUAUUACAGUCACAGGUAUUUUUCAAGUACACAACAGAAAAUUGUUUGACCAGCAGCUGUGCAGACAUCAUAUAGAGAAUUUCAUCAUUGAACAUAUUUAUGAGAGUGAUUGAAAUCUAUAUUUCAUUCGUCACUGUUAGAAAAUAUUGUGAAUUUUGUCCGUGAUUGUGAUCAUUUUUUGUCUGUCAGGGUGUUUGAAAUAAAAUAUUUCUUGCAUCAUUACAAUAUAAUUGUGAUCUUGUCCGUUAUUGUGAUCAAGCUUCGUUCGUACUUGAAAAAGAAGCCUCAAGCACAGAAUUGAAAUUGUGAAGAAGCCUCAAGUUUCAUAAACUGUAUCAAGCUUCGUUCAGUUAUAACAUAGUGAAGUCUCAAACUUCACAGAUAGAAAGCCUCAAGCUUUAUACAUAUUAACGUCAAAAGUCAAAGAAAAGCCUCAAGCUUGUAAACUUUGUGAAGGUAAAAGAAGUUUCAUAGUGAAAGUUGAAUUACAGCCGAGGAAAAUAAUUAAGGCUAACAGACACUUGAAACCAAACUGGGUGAAAUAUUUAAGGUUUAGAGAUACCUGAAAUAACAAGUGAAAGAAUUAUUAAGGUACACGGACACCUGAAUGAUAAAUUUGAAUACUUAAGGUAUAUAGACACCAAUAUAGAAACUUGAAAAAAUUUAAGGUCUUUGUUCACCAAACGGCACUUAAUAAAGCUUAUGGAAGUGAAAAAUUAAGCAAAGUGAAAAGAAAUAGUUAGCUGAAUUGUGAAUUGAAACAUACAGAGUGAAAUAUAAGAAAACUGCUGAAAGUGAAAGAGAGAAUUGUCAACUUGAAACAUUGUCAAGUGACUGAUAGUGAAAGUGAAAUUUUGUAGAAAAGUUGAAAGUGAAAGUUGAAGUUUACGACAACAUAGUUGAAUACGGAUUGAAUUUGAAAGCAAGUGAUAAGAAGUAAUUCGUGAAUCCGGAAGAAAAUUGUGAUCAGUGUUAAAUAAAGAAUAAUUUACACAAAUAAAAAGUUUUGCAUAGCAAUGCAAUAAUUAUUGAAAUUGUAUUGAAAGAAACACAUUGAAGAUACACACAGGAAUUUGUGAAUUUGAAUGAAACUUGUGAUUAGUGCUAAUAAGUGAAAUAUUUAGCACUAAAGACUGCUUACACAAAUUAAAUCGACAUAAAAAAGUGAUUGAAUUCAUAUUGAAAUAAAAGUGAAGCACAGUUGAAAUACAUUUAGUAAAAUGUGAUGUGUUGAAAUUCGGAACAGAACAGAAUAGAACCGACAAGAAUAAUUUUGAAAAAAUAUUCAAUUGAAAUCGAACUUUAAGAAAAACUGCGAAUUAUAUAGUCGUAAGAAAUCAAACGUUAGCAAAAUAGUAAAUCAGAAUUUGAAAGAGAAGUAAAUAAAAAAAAAAAAUACUAGUUAGUGAACCAAAAUUUUUAGCGGAGACAGACACAACAUAGUUAUAUAAACUUGUGAUAAUAAGUCACAUUUUUCUGAAAUAUCACAAUUCUCCAGACAGAAUUUGAAAAAAAUAAAAACUUGCAUAUUUCUUUAAGAAAAUUUCUCAUUAUUUUAUUAUCGUGAAAAUAAGUUUCUGAUUAUUUUAUUAUUGUGUUUGAUCAACCAAAUUUUACUUUACACAGAAAUGCAAAAAAAAAAAAGAAACCUUGUGUAACGUUAAAUGUUAUUAAUUAUUCAUUAAUUUAAAAUAAAUUACUUUGUUUCCCCUUCUCACUAAUUGAUACACUUGAAAGGUAGACUGACUCUCCAAUAAACAAUAACCCUUGUUUAUUGGAACCAUACUGUGG